Molecule: non-coding RNA, 45 nt
Organism: Schistosoma curassoni
Lineage: Eukaryota; Metazoa; Platyhelminthes; Trematoda; Strigeidida; Schistosomatidae
Source: Rfam
AUCCAGCUGACGAGUCCCAAAUGGGACGAAACGUGCGUCCUGGAU